This is a long non-coding RNA of Pogoniulus pusillus (Red-fronted tinkerbird), 850 nucleotides long. RefSeq lists it as uncharacterized. The record is from RefSeq and is a predicted model, not a curated record. NCBI's taxonomy places the organism in Eukaryota, Metazoa, Chordata, Aves, Piciformes, Lybiidae. The transcript is spliced from 2 exons.
CUGAGAGAAAGGGCGGUCCAGGUGCUUGUCCCCUCGCUCUCUUUCGAAAGACAUCCGAGGCUCAUUAGGCCUAUUGAGCUUGCACAAAGGGACCAGCUGUGCAAAGCAGGGACGGUCCUGCCCCUCAGGAGCUUGUCCUUCCGAGUGCCAGGGGACUCUCUCUACAGAAACUAUGCAGGCGGGGGAGAACUCUAAGGCAGGGACCCCAAGCACAUCUCUCCCUGUGACACUGGGUGUGGGACGGCAGAAUGCCGCAGCACCACGGACAUGAUGGCCACAGGAGGAGGUGACACAGACACACCGAGCCCUUCUGUGCUAGCUAUGAUCCUAGAGGGGGUCCUGGGUCCUCUUUGCUUGCGGGAUGCCAUGACUGAAAUACAGCCCAAAUUCAUUAUUGAGGUGCAGGGCUCCCUGGACACCCAGCCUGUCUUCCUGCCCAUACUACUACAGUACAUUCUGCUGCCAGGCUCAGAUCCACUGUGUGCCUUCCACCCUGUGUUGGAGAGACCGUGCCUGCGUUCCUGGGGGAGCAGGACUGGGGCCGCAGGAGGUGCCCGUCCUGCUAAUUAGAGUGUGCUGAGGAGGAACUCACUCAGCUCUGUCUGGCUUGACAUUAAGACCUAAAUUUGCUGUAAAACCAAAUGGAUACGCACACCCACAUCUAUAAGGCUUUUAGUUCAGCAACAAGUGAAUCCAUCAAAGCUCAGCACCUAAUUUAAUAGCAAUAAUGAAAGGUGUGCGUCACUAUUAAUUUAAGCACUCCAACAUUAGCCUUGCACUUAGAAACCAGCAAGGCAAAGCUAUUUACAAAUGAAUGUACCAGGGCAAUAAAUUGAAAGUACUGGUUUGA